This 253-nucleotide ribosomal RNA is filed under the name uncultured bacterium. RNAcentral's name for it is "partial 16S ribosomal RNA". It matches the Rfam family "Bacterial small subunit ribosomal RNA", at positions 524 to 776 of the family's 1533-position model. The record is from RNAcentral.
UACGGAGGGUGCGAGCGUUAUCCGGAUUCACUGGGUUUAAAGGGUGCGUAGGUGGGUCUGUAAGUCCGUGGUGAAAUCUCCAAGCUUAACUUGGAAACUGCCAUGGAUACUAUAGGUCUUGAAUACCGUGGAGGUGAGCGGAAUAUGUCAUGUAGCGGUGAAAUGCUUAGAUAUGACAUAGAACACCAAUUGCGAAGGCAGCUCACUACACGAAUAUUGACACUGAGGCACGAAAGCGUGGGGAUCAAACAGG